Molecule: ribosomal RNA, 983 nt
Filed under: uncultured eukaryote
Lineage: Eukaryota
Description: partial 18S ribosomal RNA
Rfam family: Eukaryotic small subunit ribosomal RNA
Source: RNAcentral
GUUUUUAGUGUUGCAGUUAAAAAGCUCGUAGUUGGAUUUUGAGAGAUGUGAGAGUGCUAGGUUGGAGUGAAAAACUUCAUACCGACUCUACUCUCUUGUAUAUCUGGUAGAUGCUUAACUGUGUUUAUCAGUAUUUUACUGUGAAUAAAAUCGAGUGUUUAAAGCAAGUCAUUGACCUUUGUCGAUUAUUAGCAUGGGAUAAUGGAAUAGGACCGUGAGGAUGAUGGGGGUAAUACUUUAUCAUUCACACGGUAAUGAUUAAAAGGGGUGGUUGGGGUGAUCAGUAUUUUAUGGGGAGGGGUGAAAUCCUUUGAUCCAUAAAAGACUAACUGAUGCGAAAGCGUUUCACAAGGACAUUUUCAUUAAUCAAGAACUAAAGUUAAGGGAGCGAAAAUGAUUAGAUACCAUUGUAGUCUUAACCAUAAACGAUGUCGGCCGAGGAUUGGGAGAAAGUGUGGUGUGUGGGGUCAAACUCAUGGCCACGCUUUUGACGAUUUAAAUCUCAUGGUGGCAACAUCAUGGGAUGUCAUGUCUCUCUCUGUACUCUGUUGGGAAACCAUUGAGCUUUUGGAUUCUGGGGGGAGUACGGUCGCAAGGCUGAAACUUAAAGGAAUUGACGGAAGGGCACCACCAGGAGUGGAGCUUGCGGUUCAAUUCGACUCAACGCGGGAAAACUUACCCGGUCAGAACACAAGAAUGAUUGACAGGUUGACAUUAUUAGUCCUUUCUUGAUUUUGUGGGUGGUGGUGCAUGGCCGUUUACAGUUGGUGGAGUGAUCUGUCUGCUUAAUUGCGAUAACGAACGAGACCCCAACCUAUUAAAUACGUUGAUUGAAAGAAAAUGGCAGUUAUCUGCUGGUGACGGUGGAAGGACUGGCUAUUUGGGUAAAACUGAAUAGUUUUGUUCUCUGCUCUAGUUGCUUGUAGUGUCAAUAUCCUUCAAAUAUAUCAACUUCUUAGAGGGACUACUAACAUUUAUUUUCA